UUUGCGAUAUUAACGUAGCUGUAUCUGC
RNAcentral lists this small RNA (28 nucleotides) under Bombyx mori (domestic silkworm). Its description in RNAcentral is "ovarian small RNA-418". The record is from RNAcentral. Lineage: Eukaryota; Metazoa; Arthropoda; Insecta; Lepidoptera; Bombycidae.